CAUGAAGCUGGAAUCGCUAGUAAUCGCGGAUCAGAAUGCCGCGGUGAAUACGUUCCCGGGUCUUGUACACACCGCCCGUCACACCAUGGGAGCCGGUAACGCCCGAAGUCAGUGACCCAACCGAGAGGAGGGAGCUGCCGAAGGCGGGACAGGUAACUGGGGUGAAGUCGUAACAAGGUAGC
Molecule: ribosomal RNA, 182 nt
Filed under: uncultured bacterium
Lineage: Bacteria
Description: partial 16S ribosomal RNA
Rfam family: Bacterial small subunit ribosomal RNA
Source: RNAcentral